Molecule: non-coding RNA, 157 nt
Filed under: Azotobacter vinelandii
Lineage: Bacteria; Pseudomonadati; Pseudomonadota; Gammaproteobacteria; Pseudomonadales; Pseudomonadaceae
Description: FMN sequence
Rfam family: FMN riboswitch aptamer (RFN element)
About the family: The RFN element is a highly conserved domain that is found frequently in the 5'-untranslated regions of prokaryotic mRNAs that encode for flavin mononucleotide (FMN) biosynthesis and transport proteins.
Source: RNAcentral
CGACGUUCUCAGGGCGGGGUGGAAUUCCCCACCGGCGGUGAUGACGCCCAGGCGUCCAGCCCGCGAGCGCUUGCCACGGGGCAACCCCCGCGCAAGGUCAGCAGAUCCGGUGCGAUUCCGGAGCCGACGGUCAGAGUCCGGAUGAGAGAGAGCGGGA